AUGGGAGACGAUAACCGUCAUGCCGGAUACAGUAAAAGUAAAUCCAGUCGGGCCGAACACAGCGGACAAGACUCAUUUGAGCUGCGUCACGAUAUAGCCCAGUACAGAGGUGCCGCACACCCCCUAUGCUUCACAGACGAAGUGAUGGAUCACCAAAUCCCAGAGGGUUUCAAACCCGUAAAUAUCGAAUCAUACGACGGUACAACAGAUGACUUCCUCCUGCACAUUCACAUGGCCCGCGGUGACGAUCUACACGCCAACAAAUACCUCCCACUCAAACUCAAAGGACCAGCUCGGCAUUGGCUCAACAGCCUGCCAGCAGAAUCCAUUGGCUGUUGGGAAGAUCUGGAAGCCGCAUUCCUCGACAACUUCCAGGGCACUUAUGUGCGAUCACCAGAUGCCGAUGACUUGAGCCACAUACUUCAGCAGCCAGAGGAAUCGGCCAGGCAAUUCUGGACACGGUUCCUGACAAAGAAAAAUCAAAUCGUCGACUGUCCGGAUGCAGAGGCCCUAGCAGCUUUUAAGCACAACAUCCGCGAUGAGUGGCUCGCCUGA
Molecule: ribosomal RNA, 555 nt
Filed under: Triticum aestivum (bread wheat)
Lineage: Eukaryota; Viridiplantae; Streptophyta; Magnoliopsida; Poales; Poaceae
Description: partial small subunit ribosomal RNA
Source: RNAcentral